AUUGAACGCUGGCGGCAGGCUUAACACGCAAGUCGAGCGGGGGAAGGUAGCUUGCUACUGGACCUAGCGGCGGACGGGUGAGUAAUGCUUAGGAAUCUGCCUAUUAGUGGGGGACAACAUCUCGAAAGGGAUGCUAAUACCGCAUACGUCCUACGGGAGAAAGCAGGGGAUCUUCGGACCUUGCGCUAAUAGAUGAGCCUAAGUCGGAUUAGCUAGUUGGUGGGGUAAAGGCCUACCAAGGCGACGAUCUGUAGCGGGUCUGAGAGGAUAAUCCGCCACACUGGGACGGAGACACGGCCCAGACUCCUACGGGAGGCAGCAGUGGGGAAUAUUGGACAAUGGGGGGAACCCUGAUCCAGCCAUGCCGCGUGUGUGAAGAAGGCCUUAUGGUUGUAAAGCACUUUAAGCGAGGAGGAGGCUACUUUAGUUAAUACCUAGAGAUAGUGGACGUUACUCGCAGAAUAAGCACCGGCUAACUCUGUGCCAGCAGCCGCCGUAA
RNAcentral lists this ribosomal RNA (499 nucleotides) under uncultured bacterium. RNAcentral's name for it is "partial 16S ribosomal RNA". It matches the Rfam family "Bacterial small subunit ribosomal RNA", at positions 30 to 523 of the family's 1533-position model. The record is from RNAcentral.